Marmota monax (woodchuck) is the source of this 3993-nucleotide long non-coding RNA. RefSeq lists it as uncharacterized. The record is from RefSeq and is a predicted model, not a curated record. Lineage: Eukaryota; Metazoa; Chordata; Mammalia; Rodentia; Sciuridae. The transcript has 2 exons.
AUGGAAUGCAAGUGGAAGUGACGUGUGGGGAAGUUUCAAGAGCCUGUGUGCAAUUUGCCAUUUUUUUUUUUUUUUUUUUUUUUUUUGCUGCCACCAAAAACUGCUGUCAGUUUGGGUUCCAGAGUGAGGUGGACAGAGCAGAGCACCUAGACCUCAGCAAUGGACGCGUAGAAUUUCAGAAUCCUAAGAAGCAAUUGCAUCUGAAUGAAAUAGUAAUGACAAAAUUUAUGAAGCGGAAAGAAGAGUAAUUCAUUCACCUGACAUGAGCUUAAUUUCUUAAAGGAGGGAAGGGAAAUUUCCAAGUUCUCUCCCCUAAUAGAAGAUGGCCUGAACUGCCAUGAAAUUUUUAGCCAUCAGAAGAGUGCCCACUUUAGCAAAUAAUGAACAUGAAUACCUAACAUUUUAGGAAUGCUUUUAGCUACAGGUAAUGAACAGAAAGCCUGACUAGAGUGGCUUUAAAAAAUUAAGGAGCAUUUUUCUCCCAUAAUGAGAAGUCCAGAGUUAGCAGUGCAUGGCUUAUUCAGCAGAUCAGUGAUGCCAAAGAGUCUGAGAUCUCCUUGACCUUGUUCUCACAAUUACAACAAAUCUGUUGCAGCUUCCACAAUUAUAUCCCCUUUCCAACAAGAUGACAGAGAAUGAAGCCGAUAGAAAAGGAAUUGCCAAUAUCUGAAAGUAAAAGUUUUAUGAGAAAGCUCCCAGAAAAUUUCUGUUUAUAUCUCUUUGGCCAUAGUUUUGUUCCAGAGUCACUCCUGGCAGAGAGAUGGCCAGAGAGAGGAAAGGCAAAGAAAAAAGCAAAGGCAGCUCAUGGCAUCCAGACAUUGGCCAGAUACUCAUACCCAGGCACUGAUGUUCAGAAGAUACUCAUACCCAGGCACUGAUGUUCAGAAGAUACUCAUACCCAGGCACUGAUGUUCAGAAGAUACUCAUACCCAGGCACUGAUGUUCAGAAGAGUGUUUUACUUUUGAUCUGAAAUGUCCCCCCAAAACCCAUGUGCUAAAGGCUUGGUCACCAGCCCAGGGUGCCUAUCAGGGCAGGAGAAACUUUGGGAAGUUGGGCUAAUUGGAAGCAAGUUAGAUCACUGGUGAAUGCCCUUGGAGGGGAUUUUGGCCCCUUUCUGUUUUUGCUUCCUGGCCUCCAUGAGGUGAGCAGCUCUUCCACCAGGUGCUCACACAGGCUCGAAGCAACAGAGCAAAGAAAACAGACUGGAACCUCUGAAACCAUGAGCCAAACAAACCUUUCCUCCUUUAAGUUGAUUUUCUCAGGUAUUUUGUCACAAAGACAGAAAAUUGACUAACACAAAGAGUUAACCCAGCUUUCACAAAUAGUCCUUGGCGAUCUCCGGUUCAACCGAAACAGGUUUCCAUUUUUUAGAGCUGAGUAAUAUUCCAUCGUGUAUAAAUGCCACAUUUUUUUUUAUCCAUUCAUCUGUUGAAGGGCAUCUGAGUUGGUUUCACAGUCUAGCUAUUGUGCUACUCCAAUCAUACUUCUGAAGUGGAUUAAACCUCACUGUCACAAUAAUAAUAAGUCAUAAAGGUACAGAUCUCAGGGUUGAGAAGGCUGAGGAGUGCAUUUGCUGUUUCUGAAUCCCUCAACUAAAUUGCAUAAUUUGACACACUAUCUAGAUAGCCACUAAAUAAAGCAAAGUUGUACAUUAUAGUCAUUCUUAGACUGCCUAAGAACUAAGCUUUUUAAAAAAUUCAUGGUUUCCCAUUUAUGAAGUAAGUAUGUAAGAUACAUAAAGAUAAAAACCAAAAAUAUUCAUUAUCUCUAGAGUAAAAGUUUUGUAAAAGUGAUCCUUCUUUGUUUUCAGUUUGAAUACCAGAGAUAAUCAAUUGAAAUAAAAAUAUGGAUAGUUAAAUUCAUUUGAAUAAGUGAUGAUAUUAUGUACAAAUUACAAUGUUCAGAGAACUUGGCUAUAUUUCCUUUUUUAAUAAACUAAAAGGUGGUUUUAAAAGCCAGCAAAUAUAAAAACAGAAUCUAAAUUCUAACUUGAGAAAGUAGAAGAAACACCUAUCUUCAUUGAAUGAAUACAGAGGUAUUUUGAAGAGCUCUGUAAGCAAACCACACAGACAUUUUAAAAGAAACCACAGGGAAAAGCAACUUGUUUCCUAAUGCUUGUUCAUUCUCAAGAAGUAAAGCCUUGCAAAUCAUCAAAAGGAUGUGCAAAGAAGUGCCAGUCUGAAAAAUAAAUUAAUAUUAAUACAGUAAAAAAAAGAAAGAAACAGGUUUCCAUAUCACCAAUAUUGGAGAACAUGAUGAAGAAAGAAGGAUGACAAACCCAAUUAAGCAUCUUGUUGAACAAAGAGACAUGGUUAUUGUGCCACCACAAAAAUACCAAACAUCUGAGCACCCUGGCUGAUUUGAGGAACUUGCUUUUCUUCCAACUUUGCCUUCUGUGUUGCUUUACUUCUGCCAUCUUAGAAAUGUUUAAACCAGAGCUAUCCCGAGUUCCUGAAAGUGUCCAAUCCAGAACAAAACCACUUCUUUAAAUUUUCCUUCUGAAUCAACUACAUCCAUGCUUUCAGACACCCUCUUGCUAAAACACUACACACCACCACAUAUGUGGUGUGUAGUCUCCUUUUUACUAAUUCCAGUAAUAAUUCGAACUCCUUCAACUCUCAGUAUGUUCCUGGUGAUCUAUGGCUGGUUGAUAGCACAUUGAGUGGACCAAAUAAGUAUUUGUCACCUUUUUUUUUUUUUCAUCCCAGUCCAUUUUUAACUAAAAUGAUGUGCUUUAAUAUGGCAUGCUUCAAACUCCUUAACAAGAAAAGGAAAUCAGGAUAGAGCAAACAGAGCAUAUGAUUAACAUUCAGAGGCUAAGGCUCUCGUCAGCUCUAUCCUAUUAAUAACACAAGUGACCCUGGGCAAGCCAUUAAAGGAAAGAAGAGAAACUGACCUCACAACAUCCAGUGAACCUGCCAGCAUUAAUAUGCUUGAGAGAUGACAAAACUAAAGCUCCAAACAAUUAAGUAUUUUAUUCUUCUAUUUACAUUUGUGAGCGGGAAAAUCAAGAUUCAAACCCAGGUAUGUAAGUCUAAAUUUGAAAACCUUUUCAUUUCACUGAGGUGCCUCAUGAAGUCUGAAUUCCUUCCCUAUGAACUGACUAGGUUGUUGCACUAGGACUUAAAAGGCCCUUUCCAUUCAUUAUGCAAGGAUUCUGAAUGAUGAAUGAUAACAUUUAUAUUUACUCUUUUUAGCACCACCUGAUCUGUAGAUGAAAGGUGCAAGAAUAAUGUGAGGUGAUAUAUGUUUAUGGAAUUUUGAAUUUCAGCAAGCCCUUUUCUAAACAGCAUAAAUCAUGGAUUUGAUCUACCACUUGAACUUCCAUGCGAAAUCAAUUUUCGGUUCCUUAUGAUUUAAAAAUAUGAGCACCUCACUUAAAGAAUUGUGUGAGAAGCUGUACAAAGAGGAGCUGGGAAAAGGGAAGACUCACCUUGAUUUUUAUCCAAGGAAGUAACCUCAUUUUCUAUACUUAAACCUUAACAUUUGCACAGUCACGUGGAACGUCUUCACCAGGAAGUGACAGACAAUACAGGAAAACAUGAUCAAUCACAUGAUUAAGAAAAAUAAAAGUUGUAUGUGUUUUAUCAAUUAAGUAAAUAGUCUUAAAGGAAAGGAUAGCAGUGUUGAGAAGCUGGAAAAACAGGCACUGAGUUACUAGAGGAUGGAAUGGCAUUUUGUAACUUUCCUUUUGGAUAGCAAUUUGCAAUUGGCAGCAAACACUUCUAAGAUUUUUGCAUAUCACAUUUGACCUACAAUUUCAUUCAAAAAACAAUUAUAGAUGUGUACAAAGAUUUUUGUCACAAAAAAUGUUUGUAGAAAUAUUAUUUAUAAUUGGCAAAAAUCAAUACAAAGCUAAAAGGUUUAUAAUAGAAGAUUAGUUAAAUUAUAGUUUAUUCAUGUAAUGGAAACUUGUGUGGGUAUUCAAAAUAAAAUUAUAUGUGCAAGUCAAAAUAAAUUUCUUGGUUGAAAAAAUGUAAAUUACAAAUACA